GUGUGUAUCUUUACUCAACUGACAGAGAAAAGACAACUAUAAACAAAGUCGCACAUUGUUUUCAGUAUUCUCUCAAUAAAGACCAAUGGAGUUGGAAAGGAGUUGUCACUAGUUACCACAAGCACAAUGUCCAAAUUGGCUAUAUCGUAACAAAUCUUGAAAAUAAAAAUGUGCUUUUUGGUUUUAAUUUAAGGUUAGGGUUAGGCGUAAGGUUAGCAGUGUGAUUAAGGUUAGGUUUAAAAAAUACAUUUUAGAAAUGGGCGGGGUUUAUGAUUUUGUGGCUAUGGUGACGACCCGGGAAAAGGAAGUGGAUUUGAGCAGAAGCUUCCGACCGCGAAUGUUCUAAUUUCAAAACAUUUUUCUUUCGCGCUUUUGCUAGUAUUUUACUAAAGCAGCUAACCGUCAAUAAACGAGAUAUACUGAGUUCCACGAGGCUAGUAAGUGAGCGUAGUUAACGUUAGCUGUGAAGUAAUUAUUUUGCUAGCAGCUAACUAGUUUGUUUCUGGACUCGAGCAUUGCAGCUUUGACUGUUGCAUAAUUAUAAGUUCGAUUGGUGUGGUAAGAUUUCAAAUGAGCUAUGGCAGACCCGGCUCUGAUAAAGACUGAAUCCAACUCUAAGAUAUCAUUGGCUGCUGGAGAAAGCCCUAAAACCGAAGACACUUUAGAAGUACCCGUGACCUCGGAUGCAGACACUGAAGAUCCAUCCUCACAAUCAAUUAAGUGUGUUGUUGGAAUAACUAUAACUUAUAAAGAGUGUCAUGAUAUAGAAAAAAAUUGCCCCCCAAAGUACUGGAACCCUACAACAACCUCACAACAGAGCUCACUAGCCUGACUCAAUAUAUAGUUAUUCUUUUUUACAUCUUCCCUACAAUCCUCUGUUGACUUUGCAUGACCUGCUGAAGGACUCUAUGGCUGGAGAUGAGGAUGAGGGAACCGCAGGUCAUCCUGCUUCCAAAAAGCUGAAAUUGGAGCCUGAGAAGAAAAUGGAGAGGUGCCAAAAGGUUGACGAGGAUGACAUACAGAAGAUGCGGGUUUGUCUCCUCAUUGUCUGAGGAGCAGCUUUAACUGCUAUGAGAUGUACAGACGAUCUGCCUUCCCUAAAGCUGCUAUAAAGAAGCUGAUACAGUCCAUCACAGGAUCCUCAGUCUCUCAAAAUGUGGUUAUCGCCAUGUCCGGUAUUUGCUGGAGAAAUAGUGGAAGAAGCUGUGGACGUGUGUGUGUGAGAAGAGGGGAGACAGGCCUCCCCUGCAGCCCAAGCACAUGAGGGAGGCUAAAGAACAGAGCAGAUCCCCAAUAUAAAGCACAAGAACAUUCUCUUCCACUGAGCCACUCAUGCCUUGCUGAUUAUAGACGGACAGAGCCAAGUAGGGAUGUAUUCCCCCUUUCAGAUGGUGGCAACUUACACCACUUUAUCAUGUUCAUUCUCUCUAUUCCAAUGUCCACUGGCAUGGAGAAUGUCUGGCCAUGAAGGCAAAUGCAGUAUACUGCUGUCAGGAAUAGUCCAACUCCAAAGUCAACCUCUGUGUUAGUUGAGGGUAUUUCUUGGAUAUACUUGUCAAUAAUAGAACGUUGGAUGAAAAUAUUAGAUCUACUUAGUGUUUGUAUAUGUGACACUUUAUUAUUUGAGCUGAAGCAUAAAGCUGAAAGAAUGUAUCCAAAAUUGGUCCCUUCUAGUGCCUCAUGGAGAAGAAAAAUAAUAAUAAUACAGGAUUUGGGUCAGUAGCUGACAUAUUUCAAUAAAUCAAAUGUAUUAUCUUCUCAUUAACGACAGGUAGUCUCGUAAAUUGAGUUUGUGUGUGUGCAUGUUAUAGGACACUAACCUCAAGCCUGUUCUGACCAAUAAAUGUGUAAAAACCA
Oncorhynchus kisutch (coho salmon) is the source of this 1857-nucleotide long non-coding RNA. RefSeq lists it as uncharacterized. The transcript is spliced from 4 exons. The record is from RefSeq and is a predicted model, not a curated record. Lineage: Eukaryota; Metazoa; Chordata; Actinopteri; Salmoniformes; Salmonidae.